AAAGGAGCUGCUUCCACUUUGGUG
RNAcentral lists this non-coding RNA (24 nucleotides) under Arabidopsis thaliana (thale cress). The record is from RNAcentral. Lineage: Eukaryota; Viridiplantae; Streptophyta; Magnoliopsida; Brassicales; Brassicaceae.